Long non-coding RNA from Homo sapiens (human), 448 nucleotides. Ensembl annotates it as long intergenic non-protein coding RNA 2567. NCBI's taxonomy places the organism in Eukaryota, Metazoa, Chordata, Mammalia, Primates, Hominidae. The record is from Ensembl.
GUAAUAUGAAAAAGUUAUUUAAAUUUCAUUUCACGUUGUCCUUUUGAAUCCUCGCAUUAAUAAAAUCGUUUUCAGUGGAAAUAUCAGCAGCAAGAAAUAGAAAAUACUAACAGCAAGAUUUUUUAAUGCCCAUAAGAAGCAGCUUGGAAAUUGACACUCGGUUGCCAGGCACGUUUUACAGCUUUGCUCUUUACCAUGGACCAGAGAUAAUUUUCCUUAUGGAGAAUUUACAAGUUUCCAGAUGCAUUAUGCUGAAGAUAGCCAGGAUCCAGUACAAGGUUGGUAUCCCACUACAAAGCAAGGGCCUGCCACAACCAGAUGCAUGUUUCAACGACAUCGAAAGACUCACCUUGGACUCAUCGCUGACUUGUCAACCAGAACUCCAAUAUCUGAGUUUGUCAAGAUCUCAAAGGACGUGGAGUGCAUUUGUAUUAUCAUAUAAAGCACG